This 405-nucleotide ribosomal RNA is filed under the name Salmonella enterica subsp. enterica serovar Anatum. RNAcentral's name for it is "partial 23S ribosomal RNA". It matches the Rfam family "Bacterial large subunit ribosomal RNA", at positions 140 to 583 of the family's 2925-position model. The record is from RNAcentral. RNAcentral also lists the same sequence under 1 other name. Lineage: Bacteria; Pseudomonadati; Pseudomonadota; Gammaproteobacteria; Enterobacterales; Enterobacteriaceae.
UCGUCACACUAUCAUUAACUGAAUCCAUAGGUUAAUGAGGCGAACCGGGGGAACUGAAACAUCUAAGUACCCCGAGGAAAAGAAAUCAACCGAGAUUCCCCCAGUAGCGGCGAGCGAACGGGGAGGAGCCCAGAGCCUGAAUCAGCAUGUGUGUUAGUGGAAGCGUCUGGAAAGGCGCGCGAUACAGGGUGACAGCCCCGUACACAAAAGCGCAUGUGCUGUGAGCUCGAUGAGUAGGGCGGGACACGUGGUAUCCUGUCUGAAUAUGGGGGGACCAUCCUCCAAGGCUAAAUACUCCUGACUGACCGAUAGUGAACCAGUACCGUGAGGGAAAGGCGAAAAGAACCCCGGCGAGGGGAGUGAAAAAGAACCUGAAACCGUGUACGUACAAGCAGUGGGAGCACA